GCGGUGGGGCUGGGCACGGAAAGGCUCCCGGGAGCUCUCCUCGCUGCCGGGUGCCGCGGACGGCUUUCCUGCUGAGAGCAGCACGCUUCAGAUUUCAGAACAACAGACUGGACCUGUGUUUGUUGUUUUUUUCUACAACCAAGACUUUGAAGGUGACCAUCAGCUGGGACAAUGAUGGGAGAAGAAAACAACACUGGACUUUGAAGCAGAGGUCUGAGAAAAUCUAAGUUACAAUACUACUGAUAUUCUCCUAUAGCUAUUUAAACUUCUUAGUUGUGUACCUUGAGUACUAGGAAGUAGUGGCUUCUUUUAGUGUACUUUUUGCAAUUUGAUAUUUCACCUUCCCACUUCACUCUAAACCAAACUGAUGCAAGAGAGUGGGAUUUUUAAAGUUACAAUAAUGGAAGAGGACUAGUCUUGUAGUACUGGUAAUAGAUACAAGAAAAAAUAUGGCAUCUAAUAGCUCCCCAGUUUUAAGUUAAAUUCAGAGAGGUUUGACCUAAAGCUCAACAAAACCUCCACAGGGAUUCCCUACACAAGCACACAAAAUACACCCUUCACUGAGAGUCCAGGCAGAAAGAAACAACAGCACAGGAAAUUGUUCUUGGAGAACCCUUCUACUCGUCAGUCACCGGCUGCUGCAAACCAGAAAGGUUAACACACCAUCUAAUUGUUUGAUAGGAUUCAUAUUCCUUCACAAAUGUGAUGAAUAAUCCAAGUGUGUUGAAUCAAGCCAGAGGAAUAUUGUUCCUUCCCCAGCCUUUUAUUAACUCCUUGUGGUAUAAUGUACUUGAAAUCAUAGAAUAGUUUGGGUUAGAAGGGACCUUAAAGAUCAGCUCCCCACUAUGGCUGGGGAUGCCACCCAAAAUGAGUUUGUUCUGUGACAUUAUAACAUGUGGGUGGAUGAUUCUUGUAUGUAAGUAAAAAUUUUACUUUUACACGCACUUCUCUUUAUAUUUGACUUGAAAUUAGAGAACAAAAAAGUACCCCUUCCACCUGGUUUUGCCCCCUGCUUAGUGCAGACUUAGUGUUCCCUACAAUGGGUAUUAUGCUGUUUUUGUAUACUCUGGCUUUGAAAGGCCCUGGUAAUGGGGCUUAAUCUGACGCAAGGCACACUUUAUUGGGAUGUCUUUCCUGAUAUUUAGGCUGUAUUUCCCGUUGGUUUUAGUUAAUUUUGUCUCACAUUCAUAUGUGUCCUCGAGCCUGCUUAAAAUCCUUUGCUGUUGCUAAGCCUAGAAUAUCAGUACGCAGCUUCGAGUUUUGUCCAAUGCUUUUCUUUUUACUAAACCAAACUGCAUUUUAAUUGUGGUUUAUCUUCAGUCCUCUACAGACACCCAUUUUCGAAGUUUAGAGAAAGGGUAUUUUGAGUAGUCCCUUUUUUUUUUUUUUUUUUUUUUUUUUUUUUUUUUUUUUUAAGUAGCAAUGACUUUUCAAACUCAGACCUCUACAAAAAUUUAAACAACUUGUAAGCACCCCUUUAAAGCGCCCACGGCUCCCACAUUUUCUGCUGCAGCGCGGGGGGUUCCGGCUUUCCAGUCCCGAUUUGCCCGGCUCGGGGCAGCGCGGCUCUCCCGGGACGGGGCCUGGCGCGCUCUGCCGGGCGCGCCGCGGAACGCCAGCCGCUGUUCCCGCAUUCCCGAGCUCCCUGCUCCUGCGGUCCGUCACCAACGCGCUCAUUUUGGCACUCCAAGAGAUGCUUCCUUCGGCUGACCCUGGGAAAACUCAUGUUGCAAUUGCAUUGUCUGACAGAGUAAUCUGCAUCUCUAGGUUACAGUUGGGCUUAUUAGAGCCUAUUUGUCUUUACACUUUCUUGGUGACAUGGAGUUCUACUUGAAUAUUUCCUUGGUUUUUUUGUCGCUCUUUGCCUCCUCUCAUGUACAUCUUGUCAUAGUUACAAAGGUCUUGUAGUCAAAUAAGAGACAAUUCUGCGGUUGUGUAUGACAAAUGAAUCUGUUUCAUUCCUGUAUUGUGACUUAGUUAGCUUGCUAGUGUUCACAGGUAUGAAGAAUUUUUUUUUUUUUUUGUGACAGUGAAAUGAGCAAUUUGUCUAAAAAUAAACAACAAAGUAUGUGAAUAAUAAGUAAAUGAA
Long non-coding RNA from Passer domesticus (house sparrow), 2089 nucleotides. RefSeq lists it as uncharacterized. Lineage: Eukaryota; Metazoa; Chordata; Aves; Passeriformes; Passeridae. The record is from RefSeq and is a predicted model, not a curated record. The transcript has 2 exons.